GCCCUCACUACCCACCAUCUGUCCAGGUAGGACACUGCUGCCCUCACUACCCACCAUCUGUCCAGGUAGAAGGACACCGCUGCCCACACUACCCACCAUCUGUCCAGGUAGGACACCGCUGCCCACACUACCCACCAUCUGUCCAGGUAGAAGGACACUGCUGCCCUCACUACCCACCAUCUGUCCAGGUAGGACACUGCUGCCCUCACUACCCACCAUCUGUCCAGGUAGAAGGACACCGCUGCCCACACUACCCACCAUCUGUCCAGGUAGGACACCGCUGCCCACACUACCCACCAUCUGUCCAGGUAGAAGGACACUGCUGCCCUCACUACCCACCAUCUGUCCAGGUAGGACACUGCUGCCCUCACUACCCACCAUCUGUCCAGGUAGAAGGACACCGCUGCCCACACUACCCACCAUCUGUCCAGGUAGGACACCGCUGCCCACACUACCCACCAUCUGUCCAGGUAGAAGGACACUGCUGC
This is a long non-coding RNA of Oncorhynchus keta (chum salmon), 488 nucleotides long. RefSeq lists it as uncharacterized. The transcript is spliced from 3 exons. The record is from RefSeq and is a predicted model, not a curated record. NCBI's taxonomy places the organism in Eukaryota, Metazoa, Chordata, Actinopteri, Salmoniformes, Salmonidae.